This 29-nucleotide non-coding RNA is filed under the name Cricetulus griseus (Chinese hamster). The record is from RNAcentral. Lineage: Eukaryota; Metazoa; Chordata; Mammalia; Rodentia; Cricetidae.
AUGUCCCUAACUGCUUCCUAAUCUCUAGA